RNAcentral lists this long non-coding RNA (2622 nucleotides) under Mus musculus (house mouse). Its description in RNAcentral is "long non-coding RNA chr12:98794447-98797069". Lineage: Eukaryota; Metazoa; Chordata; Mammalia; Rodentia; Muridae. The record is from RNAcentral.
AGAGUCUCACUGUCCCAUCUUCAGCAGCAGAAAGGAAGAAGUCCCUGGAGGGAUGUGUUGCGAGUCCCCAGAUUGGCCCAUCCACAUGGCCAUUAACUAAAAUGUUACAUGCUGCAUUUUUCUCUCCAACUUCAAUUAUUUCCGAAUUCCUUGUCCCAACUAGUAUCUUGCCCUGAAAUACAAAAGGACCAAUAUACUUAAUGCGAUACAAUAGUUACAUGCUUUGAGCUAAUAUAGUUGUAAAGCGAGCAUUAGUUCAUACGAACAUUUCUAUUCCUAGGGCCACACAACUGCAACAUCGCUGGGCUACUACAUGGGAGAGUCAGUGCUAGAGACUAUAAUGAUGCCCUUCCACGCUUCAGUCGCAGAGUUUUGGCUUUGACUAUGAUAACUUUAGGACCUCCAGAUUGGAAAAUAAGUGCAUUGACACACAGGGAGAAAGAACUGGAAUUCAUCUUUAAGUUAGUGAAUGCUAGGUGUGGUGCCGUACACCCGUAAUACCAACACCCGGAGGCUGAGGAGGGAUAACUGCAAAUUCCAGGCCAGCGUGGACUACACAGCAAGGACUUGUCUCAAUAGUAGAAAUUUUAAAGUAAACCUAACGAGGCUUUAAGUAUACAGACAGGACAGCACAUGCAUGCGAUUUAUAGACCUGCAGUGCAAGUGCAUGACACUCUUUACAGAGAUGUAUGAGGUUUUGUUGCUUUUAAGGGAAGCAGAAUAGGGGAAAUUAAGGGACACUGAAAGAGGAAAAAUCCUAGGGCAUCUGAUUUCUUUUUUCCCCUAACUGCAAAUCAAGAAUUGGAUGCACUUAAAAACAAAACAAACCUCUGCCCCAAUUCAUCAGAAAGACUUCUCUCCUCCUCUCCUCUCUUCCCCUCCCCUCCCCCUGUCUUUAUUUAUAUUUAUUUUUAUUUGAGGUGGGGAGAGGUUGAGACAGGGUUUCUCUGUUCCCCUGGCUGUCCUGGAACUCACUCUGUAGCUCAGGCUGGCAUCAAACUCAGAGAUCUGCCUGCCUCUGCCUCAGCCUCCUGAGUGCUGGGAUUCAAGGUGGUGCCCAGCUACUAAGACUUUUUAAACAACAAUAAUCCUUUUCUGUGAGACAACUGAACUCAAGCGUGUACAACAGCUGAGUUGAGUAAGAGUGCACAUCUUUAAUCCACCCAGGAAGCUAAGGCAAGACCAAAGUGGGUUCUCUUGGAGUUUAAUCUCGUCAGUAUCCAUCCCUCACCCAUUGAUACAAACAGUGCCUCUCACAAGCCACCUUACAAUAUUAAUAAAAAGGUCUAUUUUUAAAUGCAGGAUAAGUAAACUACAUCAUUUUAAAACCUUUAAAUUUUAAAUUUUAAAGCUGCUUAAGCUGCUAGAGAGAUGUUUGAGCACUUUAGAGCAGUUGCCGCUCUUACAGAGGACCAUAGCUCACAACCAGACAUUUCCUGCAUUGCACCUCAAGCUCCUGCUCACACAUGAAUGGGGAUCUCUAAGGGAGGAAUUCCUCAGAGUAAGCCAGUAGCACCAUGGAAAUCUGCUGUUGCUGGAGCUACAUGGAAAGAGCUGCUCUAAUUAAAAGCGAGUAAUAAAAACCAAAAAACAAAACAGAAGGCUGUCUAACUCAGAUGCCUGCCAUUGAAUCCCCUUGUCCUAAGUGGACUAUUUUGUUGGGCCUCAGUAGAGGAGGAUGUGCUUAGACCUAGGGCAGUUGUAUGUCCAGGGUACCCAAAGGGGCUUUCCCUUUUCUGAGGAAAAGCGGAGCAGGCACUGAGGGAAAGGAUUUGUAAAGGAGGACCUGGCAGGAGAGGAGGGAUGGGGAAAAGUCAGGAUGUCAAGUGAAGAAAUAGUCAAUAGUGAGGAUUGUCAAUCCUAUCUUACCAUAGUUCAACCAGCAGAUUCAAGACAAUACAGAGGUUUAAGUAGUGUUUAGAUACAAGUUUUCUGUGUUAGUGAACAGCAAAUAACAGCACCACUAUGUAUCAUUAAGUACUGCUUAUUAAGCAAAGCGCGGGGAUCACAGCUGCUCUCUAGUUUCUGCUGCAUCUCACUGGCUCAAGGAACACCUUACUUUGCCUCUGCACACAGACCGAACACAAUCUGUGACUUGUCCUGUCUCAAGCCUGAAGGCCCGGCAUCGCCUCAGUUCCUGAUCCCACAGUUUAACUGCGCCUCCUUCCUUUGACCUAGGUAUAUAAAAACAAAACCCAAGUAAGUAUUUAUAAUUGACCACUACAAUAAUUUUCACUAUAAACACUUAGUUGUCAGGAGUAUUUUAAAUACCUUAUUUAUAACUUCCAGUAUUCUAAAUUUUCAGGAAAUUUACGGAUACAUACUGUAUUUCAAUCAAGAUACAUAUACUCAGUUCAGUUAAUUUUAUUUUGUGAAAUAAAAUUUUCUUCUGACACAAGCAUAAUUGUAUUUAGUCCAUGAUUCAUCACAAUGCACUUUUCAUUAUAGCUCUCCACUAAGAAAAUCCACAUUUUUUAAAUAAUUGUGUGUAUGUGUACAUACCACGGGGUGAUGAUGGAGGUCAGAGGACGACUCUGGAAUCUGUUGCCCCUUCUACCUCUUUACCUGGGGAUUGAACUCAUCCCCAGGAAUGCUAAGCUAUCAUACCAGCCCAACAAAACC